GGUGUCGUAGCUCAGCUGGCAGAGCAGCUCAUUCGUAAUGAGCAGGUCGUGGGUCCGAUCCCCACCGAUACCUCCA
RNAcentral lists this transfer RNA (76 nucleotides) under Siphoviridae sp. ctBeL15. Its description in RNAcentral is "tRNA-Thr". It matches the Rfam family "tRNA". From Rfam's summary of the family: Transfer RNA (tRNA) molecules are approximately 80 nucleotides in length. Their secondary structure includes four short double-helical elements and three loops (D, anti-codon, and T loops). Further hydrogen bonds mediate the characteristic L-shaped molecular structure. tRNAs have two regions of fundamental functional importance: the anti-codon, which is responsible for specific mRNA codon recognition, and the 3' end, to which the tRNAs corresponding amino acid is attached (by aminoacyl-tRNA synthetases). tRNAs cope with the degeneracy of the genetic code in two manners: having more than one tRNA (with a specific anti-codon) for a particular amino acid; and 'wobble' base-pairing, i.e. permitting non-standard base-pairing at the 3rd anti-codon position. Lineage: Duplodnaviria; Heunggongvirae; Uroviricota; Caudoviricetes. The record is from RNAcentral. RNAcentral also lists the same sequence under 1 other name.